CAUUAGAUAGCUAAAAGCAAGCACUGGUCUCUUAAACCAUUCUAUAGUAGAUUAGCCCCUACUUCUAAUGA
Molecule: transfer RNA, 71 nt
Filed under: Dryocoetes autographus
Lineage: Eukaryota; Metazoa; Arthropoda; Insecta; Coleoptera; Curculionidae
Description: tRNA-Lys
Source: RNAcentral